UAGAGCACUGUUUGGACGAGGGGCCCCUCUCGGGUUACCGAAUUCAGACAAACUCCGAAUGCCAAUUAAUUUAACUUGGGAGUCAGAACAUGGGUGAUAAGGUCCGUGUUCGAAAGGGAAACAGCCCAGACCACCAGCUAAGGUCCCAAAAUAUAUGUUAAGUGGAAAAGGAUGUGGCGUUGCCCAGACAACUAGGAUGUUGGCUUAGAAGCAGCCAUCAUUUAAAGAGUGCGUAAUAGCUCACUAGUCGAGUGACACUGCGCCGAAAAUGUACCGGGGCUAAACAUAUUACCGAAGCUGUGGAUUGUCCUUUGGACAAUGGUAGGAGAGCGUUCUAAGGGCGUUGAAGCAUGAUCGUAAGGACAUGUGGAGCGCUUAGAAGUGAGAAUGCCGGUGUGAGUAGCGAAAGACGGGUGAGAAUCCCGUCCACCGAUUGACUAAGGUUUCCAGAGGAAGGCUCGUCCGCUCUGGGUUAGUCGGGUCCUAAGCUGAGGCCGACAGGCGUAGGCGAUGGAUAACAGGUUGAUAUUCCUGUACCACCUAUAAUCGUUUUAAUCGAUGGGGGGACGCAGUAGGAUAGGCGAAGCGUGCGAUUGGAUUGCACGUCUAAGCAGUAAGGCUGAGUAUUAGGCAAAUCCGGUACUCGUUAAGGCUGAGCUGUGAUGGGGAGAAGACAUUGUGUCUUCGAGUCGUUGAUUUCACACUGCCGAGAAAAGCCUCUAGAUAGAAAAUAGGUGCCCGUACCGCAAACCGACACAGGUAGUCAAGAUGAGAAUUCUAAGGUGAGCGAGCGAACUCUCGUUAAGGAACUCGGCAAAAUGACCCCGUAACUUCGGGAGAAGGGGUGCUCUUUAGGGUUAACGCCCAGAAGAGCCGCAGUGAAUAGGCCCAAGCGACUGUUUAUCAAAAACACAGGUCUCUGCUAAACCGUAAGGUGAUGUAUAGGGGCUGACGCCUGCCCGGUGCUGGAAGGUUAAGAGGAGUGGUUAGCUUCUGCGAAGCUACGAAUCGAAGCCCCAGUAAACGGCGGCCGUAACUAUAACGGUCCUAAGGUAGCGAAAUUCCUUGUCGGGUAAGUUCCGACCCGCACGAAAGGCGUAACGAUUUGGGCACUGUCUCAACGAGAGACUCGGUGAAAUCAUAGUACCUGUGAAGAUGCAGGUUACCCGCGACAGGACGGAAAGACCCCGUGGAGCUUUACUGUAGCCUGAUAUUGAAAUUCGGCACAGCUUGUACAGGAUAGGUAGGAGCCUUUGAAACGUGAGCGCUAGCUUACGUGGAGGCGCUGGUGGG
This 1293-nucleotide ribosomal RNA is filed under the name Staphylococcus aureus. RNAcentral describes it as "partial 23S ribosomal RNA". It matches the Rfam family "Bacterial large subunit ribosomal RNA", at positions 903 to 2196 of the family's 2925-position model. Lineage: Bacteria; Bacillati; Bacillota; Bacilli; Caryophanales; Staphylococcaceae. The record is from RNAcentral.